AUUGAACGCUGGCGGAAUGCUUUACACAUGCAAGUCGAACGGUAGAGGGGGCAACCCCUUGAGAGUGGCGAACGGGUGAGUAAUAUAUCGGAACGUGCCCAGUCGUGGGGAUAACGUAGCGAAAGUUACGCUAAUACCGCAUACGAUCUAAGGAUGAAAGCGGGGGAUCGCAAGACCUCGCGCGGAUUGGAGCGGCCGAUAUCAGAUUAGGUAGUUGGUGAGGUAAAGGCUCACCAAGCCAACGAUCUGUAGCUGGUCUGAGAGGACGACCAGCCACACUGGAACUGAGACACGGUCCAGACUCCUACGGGAGGCGAGCAGUGGGGAAUUUUGGACGAAUGGACGCAAGUCUGAUCAGCAUUCCGCGUGCAGGAUGAAGGCCCUCGGGUUGUAAACUGUCUUUUGUACGGAACGAAACGGUGAGCUCUAAUACAGUUUGCUAAUGACGGUACCGUAAGAACUAAGCAACCGGCUAACGUACGUAGCCA
This 488-nucleotide ribosomal RNA is filed under the name uncultured bacterium. RNAcentral describes it as "bacterial SSU rRNA". It matches the Rfam family "Bacterial small subunit ribosomal RNA", at positions 30 to 517 of the family's 1533-position model. The record is from RNAcentral.